RNAcentral lists this ribosomal RNA (478 nucleotides) under uncultured bacterium. Its description in RNAcentral is "partial 16S ribosomal RNA". It matches the Rfam family "Bacterial small subunit ribosomal RNA", at positions 28 to 523 of the family's 1533-position model. The record is from RNAcentral.
GACGAACGCUGGCGGCGUGCUUAACACAUGCAAGUCGAACGGUAAGGCCCUUCGGGGUACACGAGUGGCGAACGGGUGAGUAACACGUGGGUGAUCUGCCCUGCACUUCGGGAUAAGCCUGGGAAACUGGGUCUAAUACCGGAUAGGACCACUGCCUGCAUGGGUGGUGGUGGAAAGCUUUUGGGGGGUGGGAUGGGCCCGCGGCCUAUCAGCUUGUGGGUGGGGUGAGGGCCUACCAAGGCGACGACGGGUAGCCGGCCUGGGAGGGUGACCGGCAACACUGGGACUGAGAUACGGCCCAGACUCCGACGGGAGGCAGCGGGGGGGAAUAUUGCACACGGGGCGCAAGCCUGAUGCAGCGGCGCCGCGUGAGGGAUGACGGCCUUCGGGUUGUAGACCUCUUUCAGCACCGACGAAGCGCAAGUGACGGUAGGUGCAGAAGAAGGACCGGCCAACUACGUGCCAGCCGCCGCGGUAA